GGGCCCGUAGCUCAGUGGUCAGAGCACUCGACUCAUAAUCGAAGGGUCGCAGGUUCAAAUCCUGCCGGGCCCA
RNAcentral lists this transfer RNA (73 nucleotides) under Gemmatimonadales bacterium. Its description in RNAcentral is "tRNA-Met". It matches the Rfam family "tRNA". From Rfam's summary of the family: Transfer RNA (tRNA) molecules are approximately 80 nucleotides in length. Their secondary structure includes four short double-helical elements and three loops (D, anti-codon, and T loops). Further hydrogen bonds mediate the characteristic L-shaped molecular structure. tRNAs have two regions of fundamental functional importance: the anti-codon, which is responsible for specific mRNA codon recognition, and the 3' end, to which the tRNAs corresponding amino acid is attached (by aminoacyl-tRNA synthetases). tRNAs cope with the degeneracy of the genetic code in two manners: having more than one tRNA (with a specific anti-codon) for a particular amino acid; and 'wobble' base-pairing, i.e. permitting non-standard base-pairing at the 3rd anti-codon position. Lineage: Bacteria; Pseudomonadati; Gemmatimonadota; Gemmatimonadia; Gemmatimonadales. The record is from RNAcentral.